ACAGCAGUAGCCACGGUAAUACAGAGGGUGCGAGCGUUAAUCGGAUUUACUGGGCGUAAAGCGUGCGUAGGCGGCUAAUUGAGUCGGAUGUGAAAUCCCCGAGCUUAACUUGGGAAUUGAAUUCGAUACUGGUUAGCUAGAGUGUGGGAGAGGAUGGUAGAAUUCCAGGUGUAGCGGUGAAAUGCGUAGAGAUCUGGAGGAAUACCGAUGGCGAAGGCAGCCAUCUGGCCUAACACUGACGCUGAGGUACGAAAGCAUGGGGAGCAAACAGGAUUAGAGACCCGCGUAGUCCCUGUCUCUUAUAA
Molecule: ribosomal RNA, 305 nt
Filed under: uncultured bacterium
Lineage: Bacteria
Description: partial 16S ribosomal RNA
Rfam family: Bacterial small subunit ribosomal RNA
Source: RNAcentral